This 2664-nucleotide ribosomal RNA is filed under the name Triticum aestivum (bread wheat). RNAcentral describes it as "partial small subunit ribosomal RNA". Lineage: Eukaryota; Viridiplantae; Streptophyta; Magnoliopsida; Poales; Poaceae. The record is from RNAcentral.
CUUCUUCCCACUUCUUUUGGGACCGUUCUCCUCGUCGUGGCUGUGGGGGCCGUGUUAAGUAGGUGCAAGAGGCAGAGGUUAGACGUAGAGGUAGGGGUUCGUCUCGUUGCGCGGCAGUGCGAGUGCGGCAUAUUUGGGGGCAGCGGGAGGGAGCGCACUGGGCGCAGGGGGAGGUAGAGGCGGGGGCGGCGGGGUCUAGGUGGCUGUGGGGUGGGGGGAGGGGAGGGGGCGGCUGCGGUGACGGCGGGGUGGGGGUCUAGGUCUAGGCCGCCGGUACCGGUACCGGCGCCGGGCGGGCGCGGAGGAGGAGGAGAACGAGCGGCGCCGCCGCCGCCGCGAGGAGGAGCGGGGCCGGGUGCGGAAGAUGGAGGGCCCCUCGAUGGGCGUGUUCAUGCGGGGCCCCCUCGGCGACUCGCAGUUCCACUUGAGCGAGUGGAGGUAGCUGUGGCUCUAGGGGAUGUCGAUGAUGUCGGACGGGAAGACGCGCGGCGGCCUCCCCCAGUUCCUGUCGCGGCUCUUGGAGCCCCUCGACGAGUACCCGCUGGCGUAGCUCUCGAGCGGGAUGGCGAAGUCCUACGUGCGGUUGCUCAGCCUGCACGACGAGACGGCGAGGCGGGGGGAGAGGGGCGGCCUGAAGCGCGAGGAGUUCGCGGCGUAGCUGCUCUACAUGGUCCAGUUGGAGUAGGAGCUGUUGGAGGGGCGGUAGGCGAUGUGGGCGUUCCUGCUGAUGAAGGACGCGACCUGCCCCAUGGGGCAGCCGUAGGCGCAGCCGCAGCUGAUGAUGCAGAAGUUGGUGGAGGUCAAGUGGCACGAGCACGUGGCGAUGCUCCUGGGGUUGCAGCGGGCGCAGUACCCGCGGCGGCGGCUGCGGAGGCUGCCGCGGCGGCAGGGGCGGUUGCGGCCGUCCCUGCGGAGGCGGCGGGGGCCGACCUACCAGCAGCCGAAGCUCCAGCACGGGACGUCGUAGUUCGUGUUGGGGCUCCUGCGGUCCCGGGAGUUCUACAUGCCUUUUAAGGGGUCGUUCUAGUUCACGCUGGGGAGGUGGCAGAGGUACUCGUAGUUCCUCUUGCUCGGGUAGCAGAUGUGGAUGCUCCAGAGGAAGCAGCUCUCGCUGUAGUUCACCGGGAGGUCCACCCUGCGGAUGGAGUUCUACCUCCCGCGGUUCCACGUGACCAAGAGGUAGGAGUUGAGCGAGUACCAGUAGCGGAAGGAGCGGCCGUAGCAGAAGCAGUAUGACGAGUCCUGGCAGUCCGCGCUAGAGUGCUCCAUGCUCCUCGAGCUGUCACUCCGCGUCCGGGUCUACUUGCUCCUCGACAGGCCCACCUUCGAGCAGCAGUCGCUACAGAAGGCGCGCGGGUCGUUGGGUUACGACGAGACGUACUACCAACCCCUACCCCAAGUCUAGGACCCUUACCGGCACCAGUGGUAGGACAAACGGCGCGAACCCAAGUACAGCGGCCGGAGGGCACCAUGGGAGUAGUGUCCGUACGAGAAGAAGAUGGACCAGGAGCCCUAGGACCGUCCUAUGCGCUCACAGGCGCAGACCUUCUGUUAGUCCACACCUCUAGUGAGCCCGACCCACCCACAAAGUACCUCCUGUCGGACGAAGAAGGGACCGUAGCGCAAGGACUAGGAGUGGUGUGAGUUGAAGGACGACACCCCUUCGGUCUCGUGGCCCCGGUAGGGGAAGAGCGACAAGCAACACGACUAGGACGAGACCAAGACGUAGAGACACGGCGAAUGUGAGCACCCACCCAAGGAGCCACGGUUCCGCGGCGUGUAGCUCAUGGGUCAGGCGUGUUUGGUCUAGGGCGCACUCUAGGGACGAGUCUUCAUGGGCAGGACCGACGACCAAGAGCCGCGGCCGUGCGACGGGAAGCCGUGGGACAAGUAGCUCGAGAAGAAGUAGUACAGUUCGUAGACCUACCCCGCGCACAUGAUGCAGAAGCCCAAGGAGAAGUAGCACUACGACGAGGACCAGUAGCAGACGCGGCUCCAGAGGGACCAGGACUGGAUGUACGUGGAGACGCACCUCCUGACCUUCACCACCACCUUCAGCAAGAAGAGCAGGCCCAGGCACCGGUAGAUGUAGAAGGAGAUGAGCUAGUUGAUGGACCACAAGCUGGAGUUCUCGGACUCGCCCGGCCACAGCCGCUGCGAGAUGGAGCCGAUGAGCGAGAAGUACCAGUAACGGUAGUACGACCGGUGCCCGUGCCAGCCCAAGUAGAGGAGGAAGACGAAGCACGUGAUAGAGAAGAGCAGACACUUCCGGCUAAUUCAAGGAGGACGGACGCUCCUCGCUGGUAACUUAACUCUCCACUCAUUCGUAUCACCUCACCCGUAACCUUUCUCAAACAUCAGUAGUAGUGUCAGGAUCAAGUAGGUAGGGUUGAAAACCAUAUGUACAGGACUUAUUGAUAAACAUACCAGAUUCAUCCUAAGCGGGCGCCACCCGAAAUACUACUCCACGUCCGUCGAACGUGCUACAUUAUCUUACUUAACCAAAUAAGUGUAAAUGACGGUAAAAUCGACUAGUAAGACGGUAAAUCAUGAGAUAUAUACUUACACGUUCGAAUCAUCACCAAAUAAAGGUCAGUAAAUAAACUUUACAGUAUCCAGUUCAACAAAUGUACGACGGUCUCAGGAGACGAUCAAUCACGGCUG